CCUGAGAAAUGAGAAAAGCCUAUAAUCAACCGCUGCAGGAGGUUUACACUUUUGUCCUACUAAAUGGAUCUGUAUUUUUGGUACUUCAUCUCUUUGGUACAGACAGCCGGAGAAGUAGGCGGAGAAGCACUAUCACAGGGGGAAGACCAGGAACCGACAGAGAGGCAGCCGCUUCUGUCGAACGAGGAGCCAGGUCCAUCAAGCGACCCAUAAAUGCUGGCAGACUUUGAUGGUUUACACAACAAAGUGUUGAGAAAUUCUACGUGAGCUUUAUUCAGAAAUAAUACUGAGCUUUAAUCUGUAACUGAACUGUUUAUCAGAGACGCAGCUGCAGUUUAUUUGCUUUUCUAAUUCAUAAGGCAUGGCAAGUUUAUAAGUUUAUAUGUAUAGCACAUUUCAACAACAAGGCAAUUCAAAGUGCUUUACAUAAAAGCAACAAAAGGAAAUUGAAAAAAUAAAACACAUUAUGAAAAACGGGGUAAAACAGGACAGUAAAAGUUACAGUGCUGUGUACAAUCAGGGCACUGAAAAUCUGAAAACAAAGAAAAUGAAAACUGGACCUACAGUGUAAGUUAUCAAUCUACUAGUUAAAGGUAGCGGUGAAAAGAAAAGUCUUCAGUCUUAAUUUA
Molecule: long non-coding RNA, 629 nt
Organism: Micropterus dolomieu (smallmouth bass)
Lineage: Eukaryota; Metazoa; Chordata; Actinopteri; Centrarchiformes; Centrarchidae
Exons: 3
Source: RefSeq, a predicted model, not a curated record